UCAUCCUUGGAUUUGGUAGACUUGGGUGUGUCACCAGUGUCCUCAUUUUUGGAUUUGUUGCCUACUUUUGAAGUGACAUCCUCCUUGGAUUUGGUAGACUUGGGUGUGUCACCAGUGUCCUCAUUUUUGGAUUUGUUGCCUACUCUUGAAGCGACAUCAUCCUUGGAUUUGGUAGACUUGGGUGUAUCACCAGUGUCCUCAUUUUUGGAUUUGUUGCCUACUUUUGAAGCGCCAUCAACUGAUCUACUACCAUUUUUAGGGGUAUGCUGCUUGGCUUUGGUAACAUUUUCUGAUUUAGCCACACUCUUGGAGCUAUCCUCUUUACCAUCUUCCUUCGUUUUUUGACCAGACUUUGUGACAGCACCCUUGGAUUUUCCAGAUGAAGCACCUCCA
This 393-nucleotide long non-coding RNA is filed under the name Gossypium barbadense (sea-island cotton). Its description in RNAcentral is "long non-coding RNA (GBAR_LNC005889)". The record is from RNAcentral. Lineage: Eukaryota; Viridiplantae; Streptophyta; Magnoliopsida; Malvales; Malvaceae.